AUUGAACGCUGGCGGCAGGCCUAGCACAUGCAAGUCGAACGGUAACAGGAAGAAGCUUGCUUCUUUGCUGACGAGUGGCGGACGGGUGAGUAAUGUCUGGGAAACUGCCUGAUGGAGGGGGAUAACUACUGGAAACGGUAGCUAAUACCGCAUAACGUCGCAAGACCAAAAAGGGGGACCUUCGGGCCUCUUGCCAUCGGAUGUGCCCAGAUGGGAUUAGCUAGUAGGUGGGGUAACGGCUCACCUAGGCGACGAGCCCUAGCUGGUCUGAGAGGAUGACCAGCCACACUGGAACUGAGACACGGUCCAGACUCCUACGGGAGGCAGCAGUGGGGAAUAUUGCACAAAGGGCGCAAGCCUGAUGCAGCCAUGCCGCGUGUAUGAAGAAGGCCUUCGGGUUGUAAAGUACUUUCAGCGGGGAGGAAGGGAGUAAAGUUAAUACCUUUGCUCAUUGACGUUACCCGCAGAAGAAGCACCGGCUAACUCCGUG
This 490-nucleotide ribosomal RNA is filed under the name uncultured bacterium. RNAcentral describes it as "partial 16S ribosomal RNA". It matches the Rfam family "Bacterial small subunit ribosomal RNA", at positions 30 to 507 of the family's 1533-position model. The record is from RNAcentral.